RNAcentral lists this ribosomal RNA (497 nucleotides) under uncultured bacterium. Its description in RNAcentral is "partial 16S ribosomal RNA". It matches the Rfam family "Bacterial small subunit ribosomal RNA", at positions 28 to 507 of the family's 1533-position model. The record is from RNAcentral.
GAUGAACGCUGGCGGCGUGCCUAAUACAUGCAAGUCGAGCGAACGGACGAGAAGCUUGCUUCUCUGAUGUUAGCGGCGGACGGGUGAGUAACACGUGGAUAACCUACUUAUAAGACUGGGAUAACUUCGGGAAACCGUAGCUAAUACCGGAUAAUAUUUUGAACCGCAUGUUUCAAAAUUGAAAGACGGUAUUGCUGUCACUUUUAGAUGGAUCCGCGUUGCAUUAGCUAGUUGGUAAGGUAACGGCUUACCAAGGCAACGAUGCAUAGCCGACCUGAGAGGGUGAUCGGCCACACUGGGACUGAGACACGGUCCAGACUCCUACGGGAGGCAGCAGUAGGGAAUCUUCCGCAAUGGGCGAAAGCCUGACGGAGCAACGCCGCGUGAGUGAUGAAGGUCUUCUGAUCUUAAAACUCUGUUAUUAGGGAAGAACAUAUGUGUAAGUAACUGUGCACAUCUUGACGGUACCUAAUCAGAAAGCCACGGCUAACUACGUG